GGAUGCGUAAGCAGGGCUUAUUUCGGAUUGCAACUCUGAAAGUAAGGGUUCGAUUCCCUUCGUAUCCU
Molecule: transfer RNA, 68 nt
Filed under: Babjeviella inositovora NRRL Y-12698
Lineage: Eukaryota; Fungi; Ascomycota; Pichiomycetes; Serinales
Rfam family: tRNA
About the family: Transfer RNA (tRNA) molecules are approximately 80 nucleotides in length.
Source: Rfam by way of RNAcentral